UGAUCCUGGCUCAGAUUGAACGCUGGCGGGAUGCUUUACAUGCAAGUCGAACGGCAACGAACCGGUCUGGUGGCGGUGCCGAACAGGUGAGUAAUGUAUCGGAACGUGCCCUAGUAGCGGGGGAUAACUACGCGAAAACGUAGCUAAUACCGCCACGCCCUUCGAAGGGGGAAAGCAGGGGACCUUCGGGCAUCACUGUGGAAACGGCCGAUAUCGGAUUGGCUAGUUGGUGGAGGUAACGGCUCACCAAGGCGACGAUCCGUGGCUGGUUUGGGGGACGACCAGCCACGCAGGACUGAGACGGCCCAGACUCCUACGGGGAGGCAGCAGUGAAAUUUUGGACAAUGGAAGCCACAGUCAGCCAUCCGCGUGUGCGGUGACUUCGGGUUGUAAAGCACUUUUGGCAGGAAAGAAACGGCGCAGGAUAAUACCCGUGCAGCUGACGGUACCUGCAGAAUAAGCACCGGCUAACUACGUGCCAACAGCCGCGGUAAUACGUAGGGUGCAAGCGUUAAUCGGAAUUACUGGGCGUAAAGCGUGCGCAGGCGGUUCGGAAAGAAAGAUGUGAAAUCCCAGAGCUUAACUUUGGAACUGCAUUUUUAACUACCGAGCUACAGAGUGUCAGAGGGUGGAAUUCCGCGUGCUAGCAGUGAAAUGCGUAGAUAUGCGGAGGGAACACCGAUAGCGGCGCAACCUCCUGGGAUAACACUGACGCUCAUGCAUGAGAAAGCGUCAGAACAAACCAGGAUUAGAUACCCUGAGUACAGUCCACGCCUAAGCUUUGAUGUCAACUAGCUGUUGGGGCCUUCGGGCCUUAUUUGGCCCUGGCUAACGGCGAUGAAGUUGUGCCGCAAGGAGUACGGUCGCAAGAUUAAAACUCAAAGGAAUUGACGGGGACCCACUGGCUUGGUGGAUGAUGUGGAUUAAUUCGAUGCAACGCGAAAAAGCCUUGUUACCUGCCCCUUGACAUGUCUGGAAUCGAAGAGAUUUAGGAGUGCUCGCAAAGAGAACCGGAACACAGGUGCUGCAUGGCUGUCGUCAGCUCGUGUCGUGAGAUGUUGGGUUAAGUCCCGCAACGAGCGCAACCCUUGUCAUUAGUUGCUACGAAGGGCACUCUAAUGAGACUGCCGGUGACAAACCGGAGGAAGGGUGGGGAUGACGUCAAGUCCUCAUGGCCCACUUAUGGGUAGGGCCCUACGUCAUACAAUGGUCGGGACAGAGGGUCGCCAACCCCGCGAGGGAAGGCCAAUCCCAGAAACCCGAUCCAUCUGAUCCGGAUCGCAGUCUGCAACUCGACUGCGUGAAGUCGGAAUCGCUAGUAAUCGCGGAUCAGCAUGUCGCGGUGAAUACGUUCCAGAUUGCUGCGCCAAAUCACACCAUGGGAGUGGGUUUGCCUGAGAAGUAGUUAGCCUAACCGUAAGGAGGGCGAUUACCACGGUAGGAUUCAUGACUGGGGUGAGUCGUAUUUCAGGU
Molecule: ribosomal RNA, 1473 nt
Filed under: uncultured Bordetella sp.
Lineage: Bacteria; Pseudomonadati; Pseudomonadota; Betaproteobacteria; Burkholderiales; Alcaligenaceae
Description: partial 16S-23S ribosomal RNA intergenic spacer
Rfam family: Bacterial small subunit ribosomal RNA
Source: RNAcentral